Molecule: unclassified non-coding RNA, 339 nt
Filed under: soil metagenome
Description: partial contains 5.8S ribosomal RNA, internal transcribed spacer 2, and large subunit ribosomal RNA
Rfam family: 5.8S ribosomal RNA (bases 1-120)
Source: RNAcentral
GAUGAAGAACGUAGCGAAAUGCGAUACGUAAUGUGAAUUGCAGAAUUCAGUGAAUCAUCGAGUCUUUGAACGCACAUUGCGCCCCCUGGUAUUCCGGGGGGCAUGCCUGUUCGAGCGUCAUUUAACCCCUCAAGCCUAGCUUGGUAUUGGGUGCUUGUCCCGCCUCUCGCGCGGCGACUCACCUCAAAGUCAUUGGCAGCCCGCAUCUCGCCGGCCGUGAGCGCAGCACAGACGCGCUCUUGGCAACGACGGAUCGGCUCUCCAAAAGCUUAUUUCAACCACUGACCUCGGAUCAGGUAGGGAUACCCGCUGAACUUAAGCAUAUCAAUAAGCGGAGGA